Molecule: ribosomal RNA, 1142 nt
Filed under: Ustilaginaceae sp. LM80
Lineage: Eukaryota; Fungi; Basidiomycota; Ustilaginomycetes; Ustilaginales; Ustilaginaceae
Description: bacterial SSU rRNA
Rfam family: Eukaryotic small subunit ribosomal RNA (bases 1-362)
Source: RNAcentral
CCUAGAGUUCGGGCUGCACGCGCGCUACACUGGACAGAGACAACGAGUGGGGCCCCUUGUCCGAAAUGACUGGGUAAACUUGUGAAACUUUGUCGUGCUGGGGAUGGAGCUUUGUAAUUUUUGCUCUUCAACGAGGAAUUCCUAGUAAGCGCAAGUCAUCAGCUUGCGUUGACUACGUCCCUGCCCUUUGUACACACCGCCCGUCGCUACUACCGAUUGAAUGGCUUAGUGAGGACUUGGGAGAGUACAUCGGGGAGCCAGCAAUGGCACCCUGACGGCUCAAACUCUUACAAACUUGGUCAUUUAGAGGAAGUAAAAGUCGUAACAAGGUAUCUGUAGGUGAACCUGCAGAUGGAUCAUUUCGAUGAAAACCUUUUUUCUGAGGUGUGGCUCGCACCUGUCUAACUAAACUUGAGCUACCUUUUUCAACACGGUUGCAUCGGUAGGGUUGGUGAACGCGCGUUCUUGGACGUGAGCUCGCCCCUCUACACUUUACACAAACACUUUUGAUCUUCUAGGAUUUGAAUGACAAUUUAUGACUGGUAAUUCGGUCGUUUAAAUUUAAAAACAACUUUUGGCAACGGAUCUCUUGGUUCUCCCAUCGAUGAAGAACGCAGCGAAUUGCGAUAAGUAAUGUGAAUUGCAGAAGUGAAUCAUCGAAUCUUUGAACGCACCUUGCGCUCCCUGCAGAUCUAAUCUGGGGAGCAUGCCUGUUUUGAAGGCCGCGAAUUGUUUCCAACCACCCCUUUUUUUUAUUAAAAAAGGGUUUGGAAUCGGUAAGUGAAGGGAAUUUUGCCCAUUUAAACCGGGGGCUUCCCCUCCAAAAAUACAAUUAAGCGCCAUUCCCAUUUUGAAAAAGGCCAAAAAAACGGGAACGAAAAAGCCUUCAUCCUUUUCGCUUCUUCUCCUUUCCCCUGGCCCGGGGGUUUUUGAAAAAAAAAUCCAGGGGACCUUUCCGGAAAGGGCGGGGAAAAAAAAAAAACCAAAAAAACCUUGGGAACCCCAAACCGAAUCCUUUGGCUGGUUUUGGGGGGGGGGCUUUUCUUGAAAACCCCCCCCCCCCAGGGCCUUUUUUCCUUUGGCCAAAAAAAAAGGGGGAUUUUUUAAAAAAAAAUUUCAAUCCGGGCCCCCCCCAAAAUUGG